UCACGACUGCAUCCAACUUCCUGCACUGCCGCUGCCUCACCUCAAGGUGUAGCAUGUAGAACGACCCCAAGCACAAGGGUCUUCAGAGCCCAAACAAGUUCUAUUGAGCAGGCGUCCCAUGUGGCCUGCCUCAGUUUCCCUAUCUCUAAGAGUGAAUGACCAUGAUACAUCUCUCAGGGCUGUUUGAAGAACUCUCCCGGUCUGUGUGCCCUCGCACUUGAAUGGACCAGGUGUGAGAGGUAGUGAGGGCCCUUUGUUAGGGUCAGCCUUCAGCACGUGGGCCCCAAUUGAGGCCCCUCAGUCUUAAUGACCUUUGCCCUCUUGGAGACUUGCCCCACUUUAGCUAAAGCACAACACCAUGGGUAUAUAACAGCCACCUGGACCCCUGUUAGUGUCCCCAUGCUCAAAAUUCCACCAUAUUGCCUGUCUCCCACUAUGUCGGCCGCUUCCGUGGUCCUGCUGUGAAGGCUGCUGGUGCCUAUCGCAGAGAACCAAAGCUCGUGGAAGUGGACUUUCGUGUCUCAGUGCCCAUCUCCAGUUUUGCCUCCCACAGGCAAAGUCCUUGGAAAGGGUGUCCUGUACCCCACUUCCCCUGCAAGAAGGGCUUUGCUCUCUCCUGGGUCUGGGCUGUGCCAGGGACAUGGGUAUUCCCAGGAGAGUCUGGGAGCUGGGAGCAGAGGGGGAGAGCUGUCACCAGACAGCGGACCCUCUGUGUUGGGACCUGGAGAUAGUCUUAAGGCCAGCACAGAACCAGCCUGUGUCUCCUUGUUCUUGAGACGUGGUGGACAGGCCUGUCUCCUCUCCCUCUGCAGACAGAUUUCCAACCACAGCUGGGGAUGAGGGAGGAGGGCUGGCCUACCCUAGGCCUCAGAGGUCUCUGUUAUCCCUGGUUAAGUAAAAGAUCAGCCACCACAGAAGAGUAGAGCAGGGGACUGUGGUCCAUGAUUGGAUUUGGGAGAAGCUGCCUCUGGCCAUUUGCUGCUGUGCCUUCAGGGACUGACAUGUCAUACAGGGGCAGAGGCCACCAGCUAGCCACUGUCUCUCUCACAGGUCUCAAAUGACCAAUUUACCACUUGGGUUUCACUCUGUAUUUUGUAUUCAAUGGCAAUACUUGUAGUGGGGACAUAGUCCCCCUCAGUCACUCCUGAUUUUUACAAAACUUUAAGGGCAAACCCUGAACUGAGGGCCGUAGGCACCUAGGGCUCUUUCCCACACUAAGUCCAGCCUCCCUGUUUGCUGACAGCUCUAGCUAUCUCUAUACCACCACCCAGCCCAGAGGCAGGGAUUCGUUUGUAUUUUUUUUUUUUUUGGAAAAAACAAAACAAAACAAAACAGCGUUUCUUUUCUGUACAGGACCCAAUAAAAAAUUCCUCAUGGUUUGC
RNAcentral lists this long non-coding RNA (1382 nucleotides) under Mus musculus (house mouse). RNAcentral describes it as "long non-coding RNA chr4:152283954-152285336". Lineage: Eukaryota; Metazoa; Chordata; Mammalia; Rodentia; Muridae. The record is from RNAcentral.